This 371-nucleotide ribosomal RNA is filed under the name uncultured organism. RNAcentral's name for it is "partial 16S ribosomal RNA". It matches the Rfam family "Bacterial small subunit ribosomal RNA", at positions 527 to 896 of the family's 1533-position model. The record is from RNAcentral.
GUAGGUGGCAAGCGUUGUCCGGAAUUAUUGGGCGUAAAGCGCGCGCAGGCGGUCCUUUAAGUCUGAUGUGAAAGCCCACGGCUCAACCGUGGGGGGUCAUUGGAAACUGGGGGACUUGAGUACAGAAGAGGAAAGCGGAAUUCCAAGUGUAGCGGUGAAAUGCGUAGAGAUUUGGAGGAACACCAGUGGCGAAGGCGGCUUUCUGGUCUGUAACUGACGCUGAGGCGCGAAAGCGUGGGGAGCAAACAGGAUUAGAUACCCUGGUAGUCCACGCCGUAAACGAUGAGUGCUAAGUGUUAGGGGUUUCCGCCCCCUUAGUGCUGCAGCUAACGCAUUAAGCACUCCGCCUGGGGAGUACGGCCGCAAGGCUG